CAUUUUUCCCAGUUUACAUUCCCUGUUCCUAGAUGACUCUAACUUGUGUCAAGUUGACAUAAAAUGAACCAUCACAGAAAGGAAAGAUGUCCUCAUUCUACUCUCUGGAAGUGUGAGGCCGAAAUUAAAUGCUUUCUUUUAUAGGUCGCCUUGGUCAUGGUGCUUUGUCACAGCAAUUGAAAAGUAAUGAAGACAACUGUGAUAUGGAAGUAGUUCAUCACCUACAAGAGACACAAAUUUCCAACUUAACCUUUCCAACUUCUUCUGCCACAGAUGUGGCCAUGUAGUUCUCCUGCUCUGGCUAAUAAGAUAUGAAGAGAGAGCUCAAGGGACUUUCUGGGGACCCUAGAAGCAAGCACCAGCCAGGAGGCCUCAUCCUGAUGGCUGUGCACCUGGAGGUCAUGAACCUUUUGCAGAAAAUGAAGACACAUUAAUGUUUCCAGUUGGAAGGACUGAAAGGAAGAAGAAAAAAGAAGUGAUAUUUCAAAAAGUCAAGUUUCCCAAGACUUGAACCAGAGUCUCCCUGAUGUGCUUCACCUUUGGGCAUAUAGAAGAGGAGGGAGAGUGGGUACAAGACUUGAACGUCAUGCAAACCUUUACUUUUCAAAGGAAACCAGGCUUCAGGAAUGUGGAGAAAAGAGCCUAAGAAUCAUUGUCAGCUGAUAGCAGGACUGAGAUCCACAACUCCUCCCUUUGUACCCCCUCAGCGCUCUCUUAAGAGCUGUGCUGCCCAAUAGGACAAAAGUGGGAGGAGCCCCUACUUUAUCUUACUCAUGAAAGACCUUGGGAAACUCCAGGCCGUAUCCAGCACCAUUGGACUUCUACAAGUACCUGGUCUCAGCAUUUGGAAGACUCUGAGCCUUGUGAGGCACAUGGACUUGAUUCCUGUCAUUGGUGUGUCUGCUCUUGUAAAUCUGUCUUCAGUAGUGGUGACAUUGUCACACCUCCCAAAAAUUCAGCAUAUGCUCUACUGUUGCAUGUACUCAUUUAUUCUCACUCUUGUAAGUAGAUAACAUUAUUAACCUUCAUUCUACAGCAGGGGCACUGAGUGCAGGGGUGCUGAUAACCUUCUCCAGCUACUCAUAGCAAAGACUGGCUUUAAACCAGGCAGCAUGGCUCUCGAACCUGUCUUGCAACUAUCAGUAUCAGUGGAUGUCAAUAAAGUGACACCAGAGUGACAUGAUCAUUUCCCCCAGUGUAGAGACACUUUGAUCUACAUUCAUUAAACUCCUGACUAUGUUUAAUGCUCAAA
Non-coding RNA from Cricetulus griseus (Chinese hamster), 1252 nucleotides. The record is from RefSeq and is a predicted model, not a curated record. Lineage: Eukaryota; Metazoa; Chordata; Mammalia; Rodentia; Cricetidae.